Cercocebus atys (sooty mangabey) is the source of this 86-nucleotide microRNA precursor. The record is from Ensembl. Lineage: Eukaryota; Metazoa; Chordata; Mammalia; Primates; Cercopithecidae.
ACUGAGUGAAGGGGUCAGAGAGUUAAGAGAAUUAGUACAGGUGAGAUUGUACUGAUUCUUUUAACUCUCUGACACCCUCGCUCAGU